RNAcentral lists this ribosomal RNA (598 nucleotides) under uncultured bacterium. RNAcentral describes it as "bacterial SSU rRNA". It matches the Rfam family "Bacterial small subunit ribosomal RNA", at positions 258 to 866 of the family's 1533-position model. The record is from RNAcentral.
UAAUGGCUCACCAAGGCGACGACGGGUAGCCGGCCUGAGAGGGUGACCGGCCACACUGGGACUGAGACACGGCCCAGACUCCUACGGGAGGCAGCAGUGGGGAAUAUUGCACAAUGGGCGCAAGCCUGAUGCAGCGACGCCGCGUGAGGGAUGACGGCCUUCGGGUUGUGAACCUCUUUCAGUAGGGAAGAAGCGAAAGUGACGGUACCUGCAGAAGAAGCGCCGGCUAACUACGUGCCAGCAGCCGCGGUAAUACGUAGGGCGCAAGCGUUAUCCGGAAUUAUUGGGCGUAAAGAGCUCGUAGGCGGUUUGUCGCGUCUGCCGUGAAAGUCCGGGGCUCAACUCCGGAUCUGCGGUGGGUACGGGCAGACUAGAGUGAUGUAGGGGAGACUGGAAUUCCUGGUGUAGCGGUGAAAUGCGCAGAUAUCAGGAGGAACACCGAUGGCGAAGGCAGGUCUCUGGGCAUUAACUGACGCUGAGGAGCGAAAGCAUGGGGAGCGAACAGGAUUAGAUACCCUGGUAGUCCAUGCCGUAAACGUUGGGCACUAGGUGUGGGGGACAUUCCACGUUUUCCGCGCCGUAGCUAACGCAUUAAGUG